This is a long non-coding RNA of Passer domesticus (house sparrow), 2113 nucleotides long. RefSeq lists it as uncharacterized. The record is from RefSeq and is a predicted model, not a curated record. The transcript is spliced from 2 exons. NCBI's taxonomy places the organism in Eukaryota, Metazoa, Chordata, Aves, Passeriformes, Passeridae.
UCCCUUGCCCCGUGAGGGCGAUGGCCGGAGCCCGAGGAGCAGGGUGGUGCUGAGGCCCUUUCUUCUGUUAUGCCAUUUGGAGAGUGAGGGAUAGCGACGGCAUGAAGGCAGGGAAGGGUUAGGUGGAUAUCAGGACAAGGUUCUUCACCCAGGGGUUGGCUGGGCACUGGAACGGGCUCUCCAGGGAAGCAGUCACAGCACCAACCCUGGCAGAGUUCAAGAGCUGUUUGGACAAUGCCUUCAGGAACACAAUGUGGCUCUUGGGGCAGUCCUGUGCAGGGCCAGGAGCUGGACUCGAUGAGCCUUGUGGGUCCCCUUCAAUUCAGGAUAUUCGGGGUUUCGUGACUCUGUGGAGGCAGUGCUGGCUGCUGCAUCCUCAUGGCCAAUGUUGGGCCUCAGCUCGUCUGGAAGGGUUGUUGUUUCUCUCUAGGUUUCUGUGCAGGUGCAAGAAGCUGUGGGGUGUUUGUAGCCACCUGCCACUUAAACUGAUAGGAACUUUGAGUCUGGCUGGUUUGUUUUCUCCUUUGGGGUGCCACAGCAGGCUCCUGUGGUGGUGGUUGGAGCUCCUUUUCCUGCUUAAGUGGGAAGGGAUGAAGCAGCACACACCAGGCUCCCAGUGGCACUAUCACCAAAUUACUGCACCAAGUUAUCUUCAAGUAUGCAUUAUUCCAGCAUUGUAACUUCUCUGCAAACACCACCAAGCCCCAUCUUGUCUCCCCUGCUUGGAUCAUCAGCUGAAAGCACAACAGAAAUAGUCUGAAGGUAGAAAUUAACGAAUGUAAUACUCAUAAUCUAGCUGUAAUUUCAAAAACAUUAUUUUUUUUUUUUACAGCCAGAUAAGUCUUCCCUACAGAAACAAAACUAAACAUGGACAAACCCAACAUGCAACUUAUAUAUUCCCAGUUUGUUUUAUUUUCAUGGAAUGCUAAUUUAGUUACAAUCUGGCAGUUCAUAACUACUGAAAUGUGACAUUAAUUCUUCUCCAAUGCUAUAGAACUGUCUUGAUUUAUAUAGUUUUAAAACAAUCUUAUUUUACAAUAGUUGAGGUCUCUGGUGGUUUUUACGCUCUGAUGCUUAAGCACACAGCAAGCUAUAAACCUUAGGUUUUAUAUUUAUACAUAUAUUCUAUGUAUUCAGACAACUGCUGUAAUUUAUCUAUAACUUAAUAUUUAUAAAAAGUGCAUAUACUGGUACAUAUGCACAUCUAGAAACACACUUUUAUACUGCCUCCCUUUUUUAUAAAAAGCUGCAUAAUAUACAGCCAUAUUAUUCUCACUCACUGCUAUUAAAGUCUUUUACUAUCUUUGUUACACAACUUUAACUAUUCAAUUACCUCAAACUGAAUGUAGGCAUUUCUAUGUAUAUCUUCUCCUAAAGAAAAAAAGUCCUCCCUAUUCCUUUAAGAAGCUUUAAAUCAUGCAUCAGUUUAGUACACAGUCACUUUUAGCAUGGAUUUUAUAAUCCUAGACAGUGUAAAAUCUACUUCUGGAAAAUGUCUGUCUGUAUAUUUAAUUUCUUCUUUUAGUUACAAAAAAUAUAUAGGAUUGAAACAUAUGGAAUACAUGCAUCUCUCAAAGUGGCUAUAUUCUAGCCUUAUAGAUAAAUUAAAAAAGUACACCCCUGCUAACAGGAUGCAAACAUGGCAUCAAAUAGGCCAUUACCUGUAUUUAAUAGAGCUCAUUACAUUAAAAAGUUCAAGUCAGCUGUUCUCACAAGAUGGUGUCAAAAGACUGAAGAGCAUGAUAUAUAUAUAUAUAUAGACAAUAUACAAAGGUGGGUGCACAGGCCUAGUGCCAUUCCAUUCUUCAAUACUUUCAAGGCUUCUAGGCUUUGCCUCUGCUGAUGUAACUCCUGAAAUGAUCUGAAUGAAAGCUUAUGUUGAAAAUUGCUUUUUAAAUAUACCAUAAAAGCAACUUGUGUUCAAAAGAAAAAUGUACACUGAACAACCUGAAGUACUCACUGAAACAACUGUACAAAACUGUAAUAGAUACAGAAAGAAAUAAUGGUGGACUUAACUGCAAACACAAGUCACACUUGUUAACAGAUGUAAAAACCUGCUUUGUUUUAAUUCUUCUACCAAGUAAGAAUUUGCAGCUGUUCAGAACAAGUAAAA